This 620-nucleotide ribosomal RNA is filed under the name uncultured bacterium. RNAcentral describes it as "bacterial SSU rRNA". The stretch from base 1 to 539 matches the Rfam family "Bacterial small subunit ribosomal RNA", at positions 338 to 873 of the family's 1533-position model. The record is from RNAcentral.
CCUACGGGAGGCAGCAGUGGGGAAUUUUGGACAAUGGGCGAAAGCCUGAUCCAGCAAUGCCGCGUGAGUGAAGAAGGCCUUCGGGUUGUAAAGCUCUUUUGUCAGGGAAGAAACGGUGAGAGCUAAUAUCUUUUGCUAAUGACGGUACCUGAAGAAUAAGCACCGGCUAACUACGUGCCAGCAGCCGCGGUAAUACGUAGGGUGCAAGCGUUAAUCGGAAUUACUGGGCGUAAAGCGUGCGCAGGCGGUUUUGUAAGUCUGUCGUGAAAUCCCCGGGCUCAACCUGGGAAUUGCGAUGGAGACUGCAAGGCUAGAAUCUGGCAGAGGGGGGUAGAAUUCCACGUGUAGCAGUGAAAUGCGUAGAGAUGUGGAGGAACACCGAUGGCGAAGGCAGCCCCCUGGGUCAAGAUUGACGCUCAUGCACGAAAGCGUGGGGAGCAAACAGGAUUAGAUACCCUGGUAGUCCACGCCCUAAACGAUGUCUACUAGUUGUCGGGUUUUAAUUAACUUGGUAACGCANCUACGCGNGAGUAGACGCCGNGGGNGGUACGGUCGUCGAGAGUUAAACUUACGUAAGAAGUUAGAGGNGNGNGAGNGCGAGGCGACGACGAGGGAGGAGG